Molecule: transfer RNA, 40 nt
Filed under: Rhodomonas sp. CCMP768
Lineage: Eukaryota; Cryptophyceae; Pyrenomonadales; Pyrenomonadaceae
Description: partial tRNA
Source: RNAcentral
UAAAUUCUAUUUUUUUAUAACUUUUUUUAUGAUUUUUUCA